UACAAAGGAAUUGACGGGGCCGCACAAGCGGUGGAGCAUGUGGUUUAAUUCGACGCAACGCGAAGAACCUUACCAGGGCUUGACAUCCCCUGACCGCGUAUGAAAGUACGUUUUCACCCUCGGGUGACAGGGAGACAGGUGGUGCAUGGUUGUCGUCAGCUCGUGUCGUGAGAUGUUGGGUUAAGUCCCGCAACGAGCGCAACCCCUACGUUUAGUUGCUAACGCGUGAAGGCGAGCACUCUAGACGAACUGCCGUUGACAAAACGGAGGAAGGUGGGAUGACGUCAAAUCAUCAUGCCCCUUAUGUUCUGGGCUACACACGUGCUACAAUGGCCGGUACAGACGGACGCAAAGCCGCGAGGUGGAGCAAAUCCUAAAAAGCCGGUCUCAGUUCGGAUUGCAGGCUGCAAUUCGCCUGCAUGAAGUCGGAAUCGCUAGUAAUCGCAGGUCAGCAUACUGCGGUGAAUACGUUCCCGGGCCUU
This 482-nucleotide ribosomal RNA is filed under the name uncultured Pelotomaculum sp. Its description in RNAcentral is "bacterial SSU rRNA". It matches the Rfam family "Bacterial small subunit ribosomal RNA", at positions 903 to 1382 of the family's 1533-position model. The record is from RNAcentral. Lineage: Bacteria; Bacillati; Bacillota; Clostridia; Eubacteriales; Desulfotomaculaceae.